Molecule: long non-coding RNA, 1075 nt
Organism: Acanthaster planci (crown-of-thorns starfish)
Lineage: Eukaryota; Metazoa; Echinodermata; Asteroidea; Valvatida; Acanthasteridae
Source: RefSeq, a predicted model, not a curated record
CACUAACCUUACCAGGAUAUUCACUUUACAGCAGCAUCAAAGGCAAUGAGGAACGCUUAAGUGAUACACUAUGGACGUGAUGAUCAAAACUUCUACCUUUGUGCUGAUGGCAGUAGACUGCAGGCUUUGAGAGUAGCUUCCUUGUUGGGCAAAGCGCCGAGAGGCCAGAUACAUUCACUGACUAAUGAGGCCUGUGAUCACCAUGGUAACACCAAGGCAAAGGCUUGCAGAGUGGAUUCAGUGUCCAGAGGCGGCAGCCAAAGAAAGCACGGGGAUAGAGCUCGUGCUGGAUGAACAGUUACUGACGACGUCUCCAUGGCAACUCGCAUCAAGCGGCGACGUCUACUUUGAGGAACGCAAGGCUUGAUUAGAAUUAUUCAAAAGACUGUCAAAUGCCGCACAAUCAGAUUUGAUCAGAGAUUUGCAGUUUGGUCCUAAACCUCUGCCCUAAACUGAACGGUCUCUAAAUAGAUCUCUAUAAUCACAUUAUACAGCUUUCCUCUGACUAAAUACCAGGUUCAAUGCGCUCUUAUUUGUUUCAUUCCAAAAAUCGAGUUUGCCAAGUUAUCUUUUCAAAAGACAAACUCAAAUUUUUGAACUUUUGUCUAAUACGUCUUAUGCCAAGCAGGACAGAAAAUGGGCACUCCUUCAAAAAACCCUUUGAUAUUGUCAGUCUUCAUGCAGCAGUAACUGACCAUAAACACUCAUUCUUAUAGAACAAUUUACAUGAAUUUCCCAAGCUUCCAAAUGAUGUAAGCUAGAAGCAGUAGUUGCAAAAUUGUUGUGAUUAACUAUUUCAUUUAAUUGUUAGGUGCACAAUUUGAUUCUGGCAUAGUAUCAACAUUCUCUUGUGAUGUUAUCCUACAAUUACAUGUGUACCGAAUAAACCUUCCCUGAAAAUAGCAAGCAUUUGUAAUUUAUUUACAUUUAGUCUUGUCACAAAACUGUUACCACUAUGUUUAAUUUCUUCCUGUUUAGCAUAUGAAAUAUCUGCUUUGGUAAAGAGGACCAAAUGAGUCAAGUUCCUUCACGUGGCCUUGCAGUCGUGGAAUUAAAAAAUUCUCGUUCUCAUGGA